CGUACCCGCGCCGAGGUGCGGCAGAGCUUGGGGAUGGUGGCCCGCACGCCCUCGCCCCGUCUGCUGCAGACCAGCCUGGAGCUGGAGGGUCGCUGAGCGCCCCGAGGACCGUGGGCGGGGCGCAAGGCCUCCGCGGGGGUAGGGGGGGGCUCCCGCGUUGGUCCCCAGGAAACCCCGCCUCGCCUGCAGGCAGCGCGGCACCCUCGGCCGGGUAUGAAAUGCCCGCUCCGCGUCUCCCGGCCAAUCCCAAGUCGUCCUUCAAGACGUCCCUGCUCCGGAAAGCUGUCGCCGUAAAACUGCCCCGCCCCGUCCCUCCCGGCAUGGCCAUCCCCUUGGCGCUGGCCAGUGGGAGCGAUGCGGACCAGGGCCGCUCCCCAGUCUCGAGCGGCACUCCCUCUCCUCCAGCCCGCCCCUGCCCGGGAAGAUGCCUGCGUGAAACCAGAAGUGAUUCACGCUGCGCCACGUGAUGGCCCCGCAUCAGUGACCUGAAAGCGGAUGCUGAAUUUCGGUCAAUGCUGGUCCGUGUGCUUUACAUGCAUUACCUCAUUUUAUCCCCAAAACAACCCUGUGGGAAAAUGGGGAUGAUGAUUCCUACUUGAAACAGUUGCUGAGAAGAUGACAUGAGAAAAUAUUGUCAAAGAUUUUAACACAGUGGAAACCAUCACAAAUGAUCUCAAAGCAUCUGAAAUUCAUAUAUAGUUUUUUUUCUGAUUAUAAGUUAUUUGGAAAAUAUAGAAAAAUAUAAAG
This is a long non-coding RNA of Lagenorhynchus albirostris (white-beaked dolphin), 747 nucleotides long. RefSeq lists it as uncharacterized. NCBI's taxonomy places the organism in Eukaryota, Metazoa, Chordata, Mammalia, Artiodactyla, Delphinidae. The record is from RefSeq and is a predicted model, not a curated record. The transcript has 3 exons.